Molecule: long non-coding RNA, 770 nt
Organism: Ahaetulla prasina
Lineage: Eukaryota; Metazoa; Chordata; Lepidosauria; Squamata; Colubridae
Exons: 3
Source: RefSeq, a predicted model, not a curated record
UCAGGUACCAGAAUUUGAUUACAUAGUCUCCUUAAUUAAUGGAAUUAGGUGUAUAAGAAUCAGAACUAAAUACUGGAUAAACUGUUAAAUUAAUAUUAAUGAUAAAGAGCCCUUUUGUGUCUGAAAAUUAAAAGGAAUUGCAGGUUUAUGUAUACACAUACAUAGAUAGUCCUUGGCUUAUGACAGUGCUUGGGCAUGGAAUUUUCCAUCACUAACCAAUGCAGCUGUAAAGUUUAACUGCAUUGCUUAGCAACAGCAAUCCCUGCAGUCCCAAUUGCCAUUGUCAGUCAAAUCCCUCACUUGUUAGGCAAGGUAACAUCCUGCUGGCUUCCCACAGCCAAAGUCAGUGGGGAAAAUGACAGGAAAUUGUAAACCCCAGGUCACCAGGCAGGUCAGUGGCUCCAACUUGGUGACGAAGAGAGCAAGGGGAGUCCAGAAAAGCCUGGUUCAAGUGUGAAGAACCUGUCAGUGGAGGUGAAGCAGCAGGAGGAAUUGUUUCAGAUGUUUGGGAAGGACAUGUUGAGCUACUUCCACUCCAGUUUCCACUGGAUGAUUGAUGUUCAUCUUUCUGGUCCAUGUGACUGCUGAGAAGAACCCCAGCUGUGGAGAUAGAGUGAAUUGGACUUCCAAAGCACCUUCACGAGGAAGACUCCUUGAUCGAACACGAUUGCUCAUUGAUGUAAACAUAGAGUCACCAUUAUCUGUCAGCACCAAUAUGUUGCCAGCUGAAUGAGACAGUGAAGCUACUGCACUUUGACCCCUCUGAGCUC